UACGUAGGGGGCAAGCGUUGUCCGGAUUUAUUGGGCGUAAAGAGCGUGUAGGCGGCCAGGUAGGUCUGCUGUGAAAACUCGAGGCUUAACCUCGAGAUGUCGGCGGAAACCAUCAGGCUAGAGUCCGGAAGAGGAGAAUGGAAUUCCCGGUGUAGCGGUGAAAUGCGCAGAUAUCGGGAAGAACACCCGUGGCGAAGGCGGUUCUCUGGGACGGUACUGACGCUGAGACGCGAAAGCGUGGGGAGCGAACAGG
Molecule: ribosomal RNA, 253 nt
Filed under: uncultured bacterium
Lineage: Bacteria
Description: partial 16S ribosomal RNA
Rfam family: Bacterial small subunit ribosomal RNA
Source: RNAcentral